Molecule: transfer RNA, 86 nt
Filed under: Candidatus Lambdaproteobacteria bacterium RIFOXYC1_FULL_56_13
Lineage: Bacteria; Pseudomonadati; Pseudomonadota; Candidatus Lambdaproteobacteria
Also listed under: 2 other names
Description: tRNA-Leu
Rfam family: tRNA
About the family: Transfer RNA (tRNA) molecules are approximately 80 nucleotides in length. Their secondary structure includes four short double-helical elements and three loops (D, anti-codon, and T loops). Further hydrogen bonds mediate the characteristic L-shaped molecular structure. tRNAs have two regions of fundamental functional importance: the anti-codon, which is responsible for specific mRNA codon recognition, and the 3' end, to which the tRNAs corresponding amino acid is attached (by aminoacyl-tRNA synthetases). tRNAs cope with the degeneracy of the genetic code in two manners: having more than one tRNA (with a specific anti-codon) for a particular amino acid; and 'wobble' base-pairing, i.e. permitting non-standard base-pairing at the 3rd anti-codon position.
Source: RNAcentral
GCGAGAGUGGCGGAAUGGUAGACGCGCAAGGUUCAGGUCCUUGUGCCCGCAAGGGCGUGGGAGUUCAAGUCUCUUCUCUCGUACCA